GAUGAACGCUAGCUACAGGCUUAACACAUGCAAGUCGAGGGGAAACGGCAUUGAGUGCUUGCACUCUUUGGACGUCGACCGGCGCACGGGUGAGUAACGCGUAUCCAACCUUCCCAUUACUGUGGGAUAACCUGCCGAAAGGCAGACUAAUACCGCAUAGUCUUCGAUGACGGCAUCAGAUUUGAAGUAAAGAUUUAUCGGUAAUGGAUGGGGAUGCGUCUGAUUAGCUUGUUGGCGGGGUAACGGCCCACCAAGGCGACGAUCAGUAGGGGUUCUGAGAGGAAGGUCCCUCACAUUGGAACUGAGACACGGUCCAAACUCCUACGGGAGGCAGCAGUGAGGAAUAUUGGUCAAUGGACGGAAGUCUGAACCAGCCAAGUAGCGUGCAGGAUGACGGCCCUAUGGGUUGUAAACUGCUUUUGUAUGGGGAUAAAGUUAGGGACGUGUCCCUAUUUGCAGGUACCAUACGAAUAAGGACCGGCUAAUUCCGUGCCAGCAGCCGCGGUAAUACGGAAGGUCCAGGCGUUAUCCGGAUUUAUUGGGUUUAAAGGGAGCGUAGGCUGGAGAUUAAGUGUGUUGUGAAGUGUAGACGCUCAACGUCUGAAUUGCAGCGCAUACUGGUUUCCUUGAGUACGCACAACGUUGGCGGAAUUCGUCGUGUAGCGGUGAAAUGCUUAGAUAUGACGAAGAACUCCGAUUGCGAAGGCAGCUGACGGGAGCGCAACUGACGCUUAAGCUCGAAGGUGCGGGUAUCAAACAGG
This 761-nucleotide ribosomal RNA is filed under the name Prevotella melaninogenica. Its description in RNAcentral is "bacterial SSU rRNA". It matches the Rfam family "Bacterial small subunit ribosomal RNA", at positions 28 to 776 of the family's 1533-position model. The record is from RNAcentral. Lineage: Bacteria; Pseudomonadati; Bacteroidota; Bacteroidia; Bacteroidales; Prevotellaceae.